AACGAACGCUGGCGGCAUGCCUAACACAUGCAAGUCGAACGAGACCUUCGGGUCUAGUGGCGCACGGGUGCGUAACGCGUGGGAACCUGCCUUUAGGUUCGGAAUAACUCAGAGAAAUUUGAGCUAAUACCGGAUAAUGUCUUCGGACCAAAGAUUUAUCGCCUUUAGAUGGGCACGCGUUGGAUUAGCUAGUUGGUGGGGUAAAGGCCUACCAAGGCGACGAUACAUAGCUGGUCUGAGAGGAUGAUCAGCCACACUGGGACGGGGACACGGUCCAGACUCCUACGGGAGGCAGCAGUGGGGAAUAUUGGACAAUGGGCGAAAGCCUGAUCCAGCAAUGCCGCGUGAGUGAUGAAGGCCUUAGGGUUGUAAAGCUCUUUUACCCGAGAUGAUAAUGACAGUAUCGGGAGAAUAAGCUCCGGCUAACUCCGUGCCAGCCGCCGCGGUAA
Molecule: ribosomal RNA, 449 nt
Filed under: uncultured bacterium
Lineage: Bacteria
Description: partial 16S ribosomal RNA
Rfam family: Bacterial small subunit ribosomal RNA
Source: RNAcentral